AUUGCGGCAGCUACCAUGCAAGUCGAGCGGUAACAUGAACUAGCUUGCUAGUUUGAUGACGAGCGGCGGACGGGUGAGUAAUACUUAGGAACUUGCCUCUUGGAGGGGGACAACAGUUGGAAACGACUGCUAAUACCGCAUGAUGUCGCAAGACCAAAGGGGGCUUCGGCUCCUGCCAAGAGAGAGGCCUAAGUGAGAUUAGCUAGUUGGUGGGGUAAAGGCUCACCAAGGCGACGAUCUCUAACUGUUCUGAGAGGAAGAUCAGCCACACUGGGACUGAGACACGGCCCAGACUCCUACGGGAGGCAGCAGUGGGGAAUAUUGGACAAUGGGGGCAACCCUGAUCCAGCCAUGCCGCGUGUGUGAAGAAGGCCUUCGGGUUGUAAAGCACUUUCAGUGGUGAGGAAAGGGUAACGGUUAAUACCCGUUAUCUGUGACGUUAGCCACAGAAGAAGCACCGGCUAACUCCGUGCCAGCAGCCGCGGUAAUACGGAGGGUGCGAGCGUUAAUCGGAAUUACUGGGCGUAAAGCGCACGCAUGCGGAUUGUUAAGCUAGAUGUGAAAGCCCCGGGCUUAACCUGGGAAUUGCAUUUAGAACUGGCAGUCUAGAGUCUUGGAGAGGGGAGUGGAAAUUCCAGUGUAGCGGGUGAAAUGCGUAGAGAUCUGGAGGAGCAUCAGUGGCGAAAGGCGGCUCCCUGGGCCAAAGACUGACGCUCAUGUGCGAAAGCGUGGGUAGCGAACAGGAUUAGAUACCCUGGUAGUCCACGCCGUAAACGAUGUCUACUAGCUGUCUGGUGGCUUUAAGUCGUGGGGUAGCCGCAGCAAACGCGCUAAGUAGACCGCCCUGGGGGGAGUACGGCCGCAAGGUUAAAACUCAGAUGAAUUGACGGGGGCCGCCACAAGCGUGGGAGGCAUGGUGGAUUAAAUUUCGAUGCACCGCCGAAGAACCUACCUACCUCUGACAUCCACAGAACCUGGUAGAGAAUACUGGGUGCCUCAGACCUGUGAGAACAGAGUGUACAUGCAAUGCAUGAUACGUCAGCUCAAGGUCCUGGCACAUGUUGAGUCAUGGUUCCGCCAAC
This 1082-nucleotide ribosomal RNA is filed under the name Bowmanella denitrificans. RNAcentral describes it as "bacterial SSU rRNA". It matches the Rfam family "Bacterial small subunit ribosomal RNA", at positions 36 to 1194 of the family's 1533-position model. Lineage: Bacteria; Pseudomonadati; Pseudomonadota; Gammaproteobacteria; Alteromonadales; Alteromonadaceae. The record is from RNAcentral.